ACAAUGAAAAAAUAGAUGAUCUGUGGUUUCUAUAUCAUCACAGAAUAUACAUUUAUUAGAAUCAAACCCAAACCUAAGUCGUAGGAAUUCACUGGAUGGAUAUAUCCCAUUUAAAAUUUUAAAAGGUACAAACUACAAAUAAACCACUGUGCAGAAAAAAAGUGCACAACAAUGAAGGGGUCACGCUCUAAAAUAUCAAGAGUGCAAAACAGACACAUUACACUAGUGUGUGACUAUAAAACAGAGCAAGUUUUUACAAAUGGGAAAUAAUCAAGAAAAUCAAGAAUUCAGCCGCUCUGCAGGAAUAUGCACUAUGCAAAAAACAGCAAGAAGUUUACACACGCACACAAAUGAACUGGUGUGGCUGUAACAAUUAUGGUAACAUUGAGCUUUUAAAGACUUUAAAAAGAGGUUGAAAUCAGAUCUGAUUCUGGCCCAGAUUAAUUGAUGUGUAACCCGGGUAACCUAAGAAAAGGAAAACAAAUUCUAGAAGAAAUAGAGAUUCAUCCAAUCACUGAUUCGUGCUGCAAUGAGAGACACCCCUAAGAGCCAAUAGUAGCGGCGCAUUCAUAAGUCCCGCCCACUGGUCUCGCCGGCGCUGCUUUCAGCGUGAGCAGAUGAGAGAGAGAGAGAGAGUCAGAGGAGAUCAGCACAGACGGACCAGACAGUUUCUCCAGAAAAUCCACUCAUCUAACUGGAGAUGUGAUCGAGUGCACUGAAAGUGGAGCUUUUGAAGUCGACGCGUCAGCCUGAAGUGAUGUCGCCGGAGACAGAGAAGAGAGAGACGGAGCGGAUCCCAGAGUGUUGAAGCACUACCGAAAGGAAAAGGACAGUGAUUCCCAAACCACAGAGAAAUGAAUGACUGUUGAUGAGGAUCAAGCACAACCUCGACAGAGACUCAGAAGAGGCUGAAAAAAUGGAGGAAAACGAAAAAUUGAGAAACGAUGACAAAAAAAGCUACCAAAUCUGUUAAAUGAAGUGAAGAUGGCCCUGAAGUCUCAGUGUUCGUCAGCAUCAGUCACAUGACUUGGAAGAUGGGACAGGAUUUGCCACAGAGAGCAACGUUGCAGAAAGUGUCCUCAUGUGGUGACCGCCAGCAUUGGUACAGCAAUUAAUGCCAAACUUACUGAAAUUAGAGGGAAGAAAACACAAAAACAUCAACGGUCUUUGAUGAUUGAUAGCCGUGACAGUGUGUUCAAGGUAUUUUGUUGUUGUUGUUGGAGUGUGUGUGUGUGUGUGUGUGUGUGUGUGUGUUUUGCCUUUGCAAAGUUCAGUUUGAUAUCAAGUUGUAAUUUUAAAUUACUCUUGUGGAGUAUAAUUUGAUUGUCUUGUUGAUUGUGUUGAAAUAAAAGUAUUUCUGAUGUAAAUUUGUGCAAGUAAUUGACUGAAAUCAUAUAUGAUUUGUAUAUGCAGAGAUAUUGUAAUAUUGACUGAAAUCAUAAAAGAUAUUUAUAUGUAGAGAUAUGAGGUAUUAGGUGGAAACAUAUAAAGUUUGAAGAACAGACACACAAUUUACCUAUUAAAAACAUAUAUAAUCUGUAUAAAAUUCAUAUGAGCAAAUAAUGCAAAAUUUAAAUGAAUCCUAUAUGACUUGCAUAUGAUUCAAUCAAGAAUUUUAAAUGAUUUGUAUAGGAAAUUUACUGAUAUUCAUACACAUUUUCUACUAAAAUCAUAUACUAUUACAUACUGUUGUCAUGUAAAACUCAUAUAAGAAUUUUGCAGUAUUCAUAUAUGACCUAAAAAUCCCAUACAUGUUUUAUGUGUGCUUUUUAGUAUGAAAGUGGCCAUAAUCGGUCUGAUUUUGUAUAUGACAUGUAUUGGACUUAUAUGAAACACAUAAGGAAAUUCUGGCUGAUUUGAUUAAAGAAUAUAUAUGGUUGCUGUAUAUGAAACAUACAGGUUUUUUUCAUAUGGGGUGAAACCCUGCACAAAAUAAAAGGUGGAAAAGAUAUGAUGACUCCUACCCCCUGAUCAGAGUGCUGAAGUGGUUAAGACCAUUAAAGAACUGGCAUUCAGUGGGGCAAUCCCCAACACACACGCUAUCAUUUUGUGUCAGAAGUCGCAAUGGGACAUUGAUAUAGAAAUACAAUUUUGGGCCAGAUACAUGUUUUUUCUGAUUUGUGUUUGAUAAAGUUUCACACUACCUCAUUGUUAUUGUGAAAUAAAAAAUGUGUUGUUGUGAUGCUUUUUAA
Megalobrama amblycephala (Wuchang bream) is the source of this 2192-nucleotide long non-coding RNA. RefSeq lists it as uncharacterized. Lineage: Eukaryota; Metazoa; Chordata; Actinopteri; Cypriniformes; Xenocyprididae. The record is from RefSeq and is a predicted model, not a curated record. The transcript has 4 exons.